GCCAGCCAUAAGCAACUGAUUAUUCAGAUUUUGUGAGUAAACAGGAUGUGAUUUCCUGCCAUAUCUGAUGUGGGGUUUUGUCCCAGAGCACCAGUUUAGAAUAUGAACGGUUUGGAUUUCGUCAGACUUUAAUAAAAGUACAUGAUUUCAACCACCAAUCCGUCUGGCAUCAUGUGACAUGUUUCCUGAUUUCCGGCACUCAAAUGCAAGUGUGUGUGUGGCUCAGCGAGUCUUUAGUGGCGGUGAAUGUUUAAAGCAUCUUCUCUCCUGCAGGCCGGUUGAACUCGAUGUGGUGGAAGCGUGCUAAUCACACACAGACACUGGAAACAAAACCACAGACCUGCGGGCGACUUCAUUAAACCCACUCUGAUUAACAACCAACAGAGAGAGACUCAGUCAGAGCCAGUGGCGCAAACACGAUAACAUCAGCUUGAUCCAAAUCACCUACAAUUAACUUGCUUAACUAAGAACUAACUCAAAGUCCAUUUUUUACUUUACAUCAUUAAAAACAAAGCUUGCACACAGCCGAUGCAGACAGUAAAGCAAAGAGUUCCCAAUACAUUCUACUGAGUAAAUGUGAUUUAAGGUCAGGUUAAGUAAUGACCGAAGUGUUCAUUCCGGCAGCAGCCAGGCACACAGGCUCAGUAAAGGUCAGAGGGUCACGGGUCGGUCACAGAGACAGCUCAGCAGGUGACAGCGAGAGCAAGAUAUGUGAGCGGUCGUCUCUCUGAUAAGACCCAUGUCAAUGACAGAGCGGCGGAAAGGAAAAGUGAGCCGGAGCCCCUCUGCCAGCCCUGUCCAACCUCAGCUGAAAGAAGCAACAUCUAAGAGAUGACUGUACACUUGAACACAAACAUUAAACAACAUAGAAGAAAGAGAGCGAUCUUUCAGACUGACAGACUACAGGAGAAGACAAGAGGACAUGCCAAGUUCAAGCAAGUGGUCCGCAGAGAUACGUGACCCCCUAUCACACAUGGAGUUUCCCCAAAGCCAGCACUUUCAUUGUCAUCAAUAGCCACCCAUUAAAGAGUUAGAUGAACCUUUGCAUCUUGAUUGUUUGAAUGCAUUCAUAGAUAUAUUAGUUAC
Long non-coding RNA from Cyprinus carpio carpio, 1086 nucleotides. Lineage: Eukaryota; Metazoa; Chordata; Actinopteri; Cypriniformes; Cyprinidae. The record is from Ensembl.